This 253-nucleotide ribosomal RNA is filed under the name uncultured bacterium. RNAcentral's name for it is "partial 16S ribosomal RNA". It matches the Rfam family "Bacterial small subunit ribosomal RNA", at positions 524 to 776 of the family's 1533-position model. The record is from RNAcentral.
CACGUAGGGGGCGAGCGUUGUCCGGAAUUACUGGGCGUAAAGGGAGCGUAGGCGGCCUGUCAUGUCCUGCGUGAAAGUCGUCGGCUUAACCGGCGAAGGUCGUGGGAAACUGAUAGGCUUGAGUGCCGGAGAGGGUGGCGGAAUUCCCGGUGUAGCGGUGGAAUGCGUAGAUAUCGGGAGGAACACCAGUGGCGAAGGCGGCCACCUGGACGGUUACUGACGCUGAGGCUCGAAAGCUGGGGGAGCAAACAGG